GCUUGCUUCCCUUUGCAUUCAUUGUUCAGCCUGAGUUUCAGCGUUGCAAUAAUGCUGGUCGCAGCAGCGAGAAAAGUGUUGAGGCUAUGAAACUUCCAGUCAUUCCUCACUGUGAUAAGUGCCUAAACCUGAAUGAGAACUCAUAGCCACACUAUUUCAGUGUGGCUUUCAACUGCAUAUCGAUAAACAUACAGACUGCAUUUGAGUGUUCCUUCAAGGAUUUGAUUUCAGAGCCCUCAUCAGCCUGAUCACCGUUUUCCUGGUUGUGCUGUAAUUAAUUAAUUAACUAGACAAUUAUUUAUGGAGCAAUAUUGCUAUGCACAGUACUAUCCAGAAUUGCAAAGCAGAACCAUACAUUUGAAAACCCUUUGUAUGAACUAUGCAGCUUGUCAUUUCGGAUGCUAUGACUGUUGGAGCCAUACCAAAAUAAAGAUGAGUAAAAUCAGAAAAUGAGAGAAAUGAGUACAGGUAGGUUUAGCCAUUCUUUGUUUCAAGUAAUUUCUGCUAGAAAUUGAGAUUGCUUAUUUUAUUUAUUUAUUUACAGUAUUUUUAUUCCGCCCUUCUCAGCCCAAAGAGGACUCAGGGCAGAUCACAAUGUACAUAUGCAUGGCAAACAUUCAGUGCCAUUAGACAUAAGACACUCACAGACAAAGACACAGAGGUUAUUUAACAUUCUCCAGCUUCUGGCUUCAUGAGGGUAUGCUUGAUUCCGGCCACAGGGGGAGCUGCCGUUCACCGUCCACUUGUGACCCCGAGUCCUUGAUGGAGUGCUUCCUCAUUCCUUUUCUGCAUGCUGUUGGAAGUUUUUUAUGGUGUUGUAAAUUUGUUAAAUGAGCCUCCCCACAUAAAGUGGUACCUAUAUUUAUUUAUUAUUUAAACUUAUAUGCCGCCACUCCCCUAGGGCUCGGGGCGGCUUACAAGAAAGGCUAAAAUCUAACAAUUUAAAAACAUCUUUAAAAUAUCUUUAAAAAAUAAAUCUUAAAUCUUAUUUCCUACUCGACAGAUGCAACUGUCUUUGGGGCAGCAUAGAUCAACAGAAAUCUAGACUAUUAGUGGUUGGGAUCUCACUCCGACCCAGGCUGGCUUUGAACUCAUGACCUCUCGGUCAGUAGUGAUUUAUUGUAGCUGGCUACUAACCAGCUACGCCACAGCCCAGUCUUUAUUAUAUGUGAUUAUUAUAUGAUUAUGAAAUGUUAUGAUUCACAAGUGACUAGAACUCAAAAACAAAUAGAAAAAGCUUGUUGUAAAAAAUUAUUUUGUGGAAUUUUCACAAAAAAUAUAAUGAACUGCGAAACAU
RNAcentral lists this long non-coding RNA (1297 nucleotides) under Anolis carolinensis (green anole). Its description in RNAcentral is "lncRNA (ENSACAG00000043044.1)". Lineage: Eukaryota; Metazoa; Chordata; Lepidosauria; Squamata; Anolidae. The record is from RNAcentral.